RNAcentral lists this ribosomal RNA (482 nucleotides) under uncultured bacterium. Its description in RNAcentral is "partial 16S ribosomal RNA". It matches the Rfam family "Bacterial small subunit ribosomal RNA", at positions 28 to 523 of the family's 1533-position model. The record is from RNAcentral.
AGUGAACGUUGGCGGCGUGGAUUAGGCAUGCAAGUCGAGCGAGAACCGUAGCAAUACGGGGACAGCGGCGAAGGGGACAGUAAUGUGUAGGUACCUACCCCGGGGUCUGGGAUAGCUGCGGGAAACUGCAGGUAAUACCGGAUAAUGUCUUCGGACCAAAGGUGUGAUUCCACCUUGGGAGGGGCCUGCAUCCUAUUAGCUUGUUGGCGGGGUAACGGCCAACCAAGGCAACGAUGGGUAGCGGGUGUGAGAGCACGACCCGCGUCAUUGGGACUGAGAUACUGCCCAGACACCUACGGGUGGCUGCAGUCGAGGAUCUUCGGCAAUGGGCGAAAGCCUGACCGAGCGACGCCGCGUGCGGGAUGAAGGCCUUCGGGUUGUAAACCGCUGUCGUAGAGGAGGAAAUGCAGGGGGGUUCUCCCUUCUGUUUGACCUAUUCUAGGAGGAAGGACGGGCUAAGUUCGUGCCAGCAGCCGCUGUAA